CAGUAGCCACGGGAACACGGAGGGUGCAAGCGUUAUCCGGAUUUAUUGGGUUUAAAGGGUCCGUAGGCGGACUUAUAAGUCAGUGGUGAAAGCCUGUCGCUUAACGAUAGAACUGCCAUUGAUACUGUAAGUCUUGAGUAUAUUUGAGGUAGCUGGAAUAAGUAGUGUAGCGGUGAAAUGCAUAGAUAUUACUUAGAACACCAAUUGCGAAGGCAGGUUACCAAGAUAUAACUGACGCUGAGGGACGAAAGCGUGGGUAGCGAACAGGAUUAGAUACCCCCGUAGUCCCUGUCUCUUAUAC
This 301-nucleotide ribosomal RNA is filed under the name uncultured bacterium. RNAcentral describes it as "partial 16S ribosomal RNA". It matches the Rfam family "Bacterial small subunit ribosomal RNA", at positions 509 to 807 of the family's 1533-position model. The record is from RNAcentral.